CUAACUACGUGCCAGCAGCCGCGGUAAUACGUAGGUGGCAAGCGUUGUCCGGAAUUAUUGGGCGUAAAGCGCGCGCAGGCGGUUUCUUAAGUCUGAUGUGAAAGCCCCCGGCUCAACCGGGGAGGGUCAUUGGAAACUGGGGAACUUGAGUGCAGAAGAGGAGAGUGGAAUUCCACGUGUAGCGGUGAAAUGCGUAGAGAUGUGGAGGAACACCAGUGGCGAAGGCGACUCUCUGGUCUGUAACUGACGCUGAGGCGCGAAAGCGUGGGGAGCGAACAGGAUUAGAUACCCUGGUAGUCCACGCCGUAAACGAUGAGUGCUAAGUGUUAGAGGGUUUCCGCCCUUUAGUGCUGCAGCAAACGCAUUAAGCACUCCGCCUGGGGAGUACGGUCGCAAGACU
This 400-nucleotide ribosomal RNA is filed under the name Escherichia coli. Its description in RNAcentral is "bacterial SSU rRNA". It matches the Rfam family "Bacterial small subunit ribosomal RNA", at positions 497 to 895 of the family's 1533-position model. Lineage: Bacteria; Pseudomonadati; Pseudomonadota; Gammaproteobacteria; Enterobacterales; Enterobacteriaceae. The record is from RNAcentral.